Molecule: ribosomal RNA, 303 nt
Filed under: Triticum aestivum (bread wheat)
Lineage: Eukaryota; Viridiplantae; Streptophyta; Magnoliopsida; Poales; Poaceae
Description: partial small subunit ribosomal RNA
Source: RNAcentral
AUGCUGAUACAUAAGUUCUGGUGGGGAGGCAAGGAUGGCCAUCGCAAGCCUAACUGGGUCUCAUGGGACACUAUGACACAACCAAAGUAUAUUGGAGGUCUAGGCUUCAAGGACUUUAAGUUAUUUAAUCUGGCUCUACUAGCAAAACAAUCAUGGCGCAUUCUCCAAACAUCGGAAUCAUUAAGUGCAAGGAUUUUGAAGGUUGUUUAUUUUCCUACUGGAACAAUCUUGAAUGCUGAACUAGGUAAUCACCCAAGUCAGAUCUGGAGAGCAAUUGUGGAGGGGCGUGAUAUACUAAAAUAG